This is a long non-coding RNA of Artibeus jamaicensis (Jamaican fruit-eating bat), 3566 nucleotides long. RefSeq lists it as uncharacterized. The transcript is spliced from 3 exons. Lineage: Eukaryota; Metazoa; Chordata; Mammalia; Chiroptera; Phyllostomidae. The record is from RefSeq and is a predicted model, not a curated record.
UCUCCGGACCAUCAGCCAGUGCGGCUGCCCAAAACCUACCACGGUCAGUGGCCUGCUCCCGUGAAGGGUCGUGCCCUCGGUUCAGCUGCGUGCUUGGCAGCCUACUGGGAGACAUGUACGUACACAGCGGGACAACGAGCGUGAGCAUAGCCUUCAUCUGGGAGUCUGUUUAGUAAGGAGCCUGGAGCUCUUCACCGCCCUGCCCUUCCCAGCUCACCGAGUCCAGAGUGUUGAAGAGGAGGUGCAGCAAAUGAUCGGGACUUGGAGUCUGCAGUUUAUUCUUCGUCUUCAGAGUGGUGUUUGCCUCGGCCUCAUUCAGCCAUUUCAUAAACAGCUCGAUGUCCUCCAGGACGUGGUUCAGCACCUCCUGGACCACAGACAGCAUGUGGCCUCAAGUGGACAAUUAGGCCCCCCCGCCCGGAACAGCCAGCCCUGCCCCUGCCGAGCCUCCCUGUCCCUCCUCAGCCCAAGGCCUGACUUGGCCAUCCUGGGACCUGGUUUCCUUGUAGGAGUGGAAGAGUUAAUGUCCUCCCUUCCUCCAGCCCCAGAGAGCUCUGCAAGACGCUUCCUCAUUGGGUCCCUUACCUGGAGGCAAGACCUUACCUGGUCCCUCAUUGGGUCCUGGGGGGAUGGGGGCCGCUUCGGAAAAGGUGGGGGGAUGGCGCUUGGUUCUCCUUGGGCACUCGAAUGUCGUGACAGGGGCCUUGGGGAUGGUUGUGUGUCUGCAAUGGAAGGGGACCACGGCCUCUUUGAUUUUUGAUCUAAACCUUCUCCUCCCACUGGUCCCCACACUCCAAACUUACAGUGCUCUUUGGCCAUCCAAUGGGGCUGUUGGGGAGGAAGUCCCUGCACCAGGGCGGGUGCCUGCUCCUUGGGGAGUGGCCUUUCUUGAGGAGUCCCCUGCCAUCUGUCCUGGCCUUGGUGAAGGGCUCCCAGUGGAGGUCUGUGAGCACAGGGUGGGGACACAGGUUUGACAGUGUUUUGGAGACAGAGGCUCUGCCCACAUUUCUCUCCAGGUCUCCAUCCUGAACCUUCCCUGACUCCAUCCUGCCCUAUUGGCCUGCCUCUGAGCCCUCUCAGGCCGAGGUCAGGCUCUGGGACAGUCUCCACUGUUCCCUGGGCCUGGACCCAGCCCCAUCCUCAUGCCCUUGCCUCCGGCCUGGCCCUGCCCCAGCUCCGGGCCCAGGGUUCCUUGGGCUGUAGGCUCCUGGGCACCCCCAGAUGUGGGCUGGGGUCUGGUCCACCCAGACCCAUGCUCUGAGACCCUGCCGGCAGGCCGGGGCAGCGACUGCCUACCUGCUCUCCCGCUCUUCCUCCAGGGCCUUCUGCAGGCUGGUCUUCAGUCUCUGUGCCUGUGGGAAGCGGCAACUAGGCAGGCUGCGCGGUGUGCCUGGGGAGGGGUGACGGUUGCUGGGCCCCACUCCCCCACCUCGCCCAGCCCCAGCAGCUCACCCCCACUUCCUGGCACUGGAAGAACAGAGUGCUGCUGCCUGGCGGGCCUGACGGGCCUGGCUCCCGCACGGUGAUGGCCAGGAUGUUGUCAUAAGAGCAGGAGCUGGGCACCACGUCCACGGCCUGGAUGCUGUCCAGGCGGUAAGAGUCCAGCUCCUCCUGGGCCAGGUGGAACAGCCACUGUGAGGUCACUGAGAGCCAGGGCGGUUCCUGGGAGUUUCUGACCUGGGUUGCCUGCCCCAGCCCGCCUGUGGCCUGGGGCUGGGUGCCAACGCCCCCGCCCACGCGGCUCUGUGCCUGGUCUCUUCCCGGACCCAGACCUGUGCUGCACACGGGAGGGGCGGCCGCCGUUCAGGGCCUGGAGGCGUGGGGUUUGUGCCGGGGCUUGCUUUCCCACAGCCUGCAUACCCGUGACCCAUGGCAGGGUACGGUAGGAGGGCUGACCUUGGUCUCGAUAUCCAGCAGCUGGAGCUGGCCAUCUCUGACCUGCAGGAACAAGUUCUGGCUCCACACCCGGCCCUGAGCAUCCACCUCCUGCAGCUUCUUCACAGCAUCUUUGAGGUCCCUGAUGCCCUGAGUGCCCAGCUUACAUGUCAUCAGGUGCUGCGGGAAGAGGAGGGGCUCAGGACGGGGAGCAGCUUUGGAGAGGUCACAGUGGGUGGUGGGCAGGGCGGGGGAAGGCAGCAGAGGAGGAAGACAUGGGCCCAGCCUCCCACGGGGACAGUCCCAGGUGGCCCCACAAAGCAGCCUCCCAGGGCUCGUGUGAGCGCCAGAAGCUGGCUAGGACAAGGCCCCCGAGCCAGGGUCUGAUGGGCCGAAUGAGGGAGGGGCUUGGGACCCUGGAGAAAGAACGUGGCCUUUAACAGUCCGGGCCAGCGGAGGGGGCUGGGUGGGGGCAGGCGUGGUUCGAAGCAACAAAGAAAGUGGGACCCCCUGCAGGUGGGACACAGGACCCUCCCAUUCCAUCCCUGGCUCCCUCUGUUCCUUUGGGAACCUACUCCCCUAGCCUGGCCCUCCCAGCUGACCCAGCGUUCCUGUCUGCAUGCCUUUGCUCACACUGGCCACCCUCCCUGCCCCCUGCAGGGGCUCAUCCGGAGCAGUGUCUCUCGGGAGGAAGGCCACGCCCCACCUUCUCCCUGAUUCCCGCCCAGUGCGUCCGCAGCAUCUUAUCCCCCUUGAGGGGAGACAAGGCCCUUCUCGAAGCGGGGCUGAUCCUCCCACAGGUUUCUGCUGUCAUUCUCCCUCCUCUAGGAGACCCUUCCCUGUCGCAUCCAACCUCGGCCUUCACAGGUCACAGGCCUGCCCCUCACGCCCCCUGCAGGCCCUUGCUGGGGGAGCGCCAUCUGCCUCCUCCUGCCAGUUCCACUGCUCUGCUUCUUGCACAGGCCCCUGCUCCUCUCCUGGAGGGGCUUCCAGCGUGUUCAGGGCCCCUGGCAUCACAGACCAAUGUCCUGGCAUCCUGGACACGCCUCCCCUCACUCUACACAAAGCCCCUUCCCAACUCCCACCCCUGCUAUGGAGCCCAGGAACCCCAGUCCUAGCCCAGCUGGCUGGGAAAGCCCGCCUCUGCUGCCCUGUGGAAGCUCCAGACCAUCGCCCCUUGUCCUGCCCUCCUCUUUCUCCGGGACAGCUCUGAGCCUGCUGCUGCCUUGGGGCGGUUUACGAUGGACAGUUCUUUGGCCUGACCAGGGAUUUGCUCUCCCCACUGUGUCCUUCCAGUCUGUGCUGUGUUGGCUGCGUAUACUGCCCCCUUCAGGCAGCUAGAUGUCACAGCACCACUGUCCUCUCAGGCAGGGCCAGAGCCUCCAACAGCUCCUGCCCAGACCCCCGUUCUGGUGGGGACUGAUGACCUCACAUGUUCCUUUCUCUGCCCAGCCUGCCCAGCCAGAUGCAGGUCAAAGAGCAGCUCCCUGGGGACCGGUGGGUGUGGCGGGGGUGGUUGUACGUGCCUCCUGACCGCUCAGCCCUCUGCUUUUCUGUGCCUGGGGACAGGACAUCUGUCCAUUCAAGCUCCUGCCCUGCAGCCCUGCCGAUUCCCAGCUGCCUGAGCCUCCCCAGCACUUGGUGCUCUGAUGCCCCGUUAGACUCGCUGGACCCGAGCCCUCCCCCCCCCC